CUUAAAUGUAGAGUGCAUUUUUUAGAGAUAGAAAUUCCCUUCGGGGCUUUCUGCAAGGUGCUGCAUGGUUGUCGUCAGCUCGUGCCGUGAGGUGUCGGGUUAAGUCCCAUAACGAGCGCAACCCUUAUCGUUAGUUGCCAUCUGGUAAUGCAGGGGACUCUAGCGAAACUGCCACCGUAAGGUGAGAGGAAGGUGGGGAUGACGUCAAAUCAGCACGGCCCUUAUGUCCAGGGCUACACACGUGUUACAAUGGUCGGUACAGAGGGCAGCUACCUGGUGACAGGAUGCUAAUCUCGAAAACCGGUCUCAGUUCGGAUCGAAGUCUGCAACUCGACUUCGUGAAGCUGGAUUCGCUAGUAAUCGCGGAUCAGCAUGCCGCGGUGAAUACGUUCCCGGGCCUU
This 401-nucleotide ribosomal RNA is filed under the name uncultured Sphingobacteriales bacterium. RNAcentral's name for it is "bacterial SSU rRNA". It matches the Rfam family "Bacterial small subunit ribosomal RNA", at positions 980 to 1382 of the family's 1533-position model. Lineage: Bacteria; Pseudomonadati; Bacteroidota; Sphingobacteriia; Sphingobacteriales. The record is from RNAcentral.